UACAUAGGGUGCAAGCGUUAAUCGGAAUUACUGGGCGUAAAGCGUGUGUAGGUGGCUUGCUAAGUCAGGUGUGAAAUCCCCAGGCUCAACCUGGGAACUGCAUUUGAUACUGGCAGGCUAGAGUGUGGUAGAGGAUGGUGGAAUUCCCGGUGUAGCGGUGAAAUGCGUAGAUAUCGGGAGGAACAUCAGUGGCGAAGGCGGCCAUCUGGACUAACACUGACACUGAGACACGAAAGCGUGGGGAGCAAACAGG
Molecule: ribosomal RNA, 253 nt
Filed under: uncultured bacterium
Lineage: Bacteria
Description: partial 16S ribosomal RNA
Rfam family: Bacterial small subunit ribosomal RNA
Source: RNAcentral